AGGGACGAUGAAUACUUUCAAGCAGAAUUUCAGAGGUAGGGAUGAAUACUUUCAAGUAGAAUUUCAGACUUCUUCCGAAUUAUUGGUUGAAGUCCCAUUUGACAGAAAGUUUACAAGACAGAAUCAAAAUCCUUGGCCAUAACAACAAACUUUUUGUGUGGGUGGUUACUUUAAGGAUGCUAGUGCAGAUGCAACAUUUCGCGAUAUUCGAUCAUGUAUUGGCUCCUGCAAGAACACGGUUUUUAUUUUUGACAAUGAAAAUAAGUUAUAUUAAAAUGAAUUGCAUUAGAAUUGUAUAUGGAUUACCUGUGUCAAUUGCAUCUCAAACUUUGAUUUUGUUAUAGUCUCGUAUAAGAAAAUGUACCUGCCAAGAAAAAUAGUAUGAUGCUCAUCUAUAUGAAAAUGUUGGGAGGAACAUAUUGGAUUUAUACUCUUAUGUAUAUUAUUUGAAGUGAAAAUAGAAACAUGAAACAUUGAAAGUAAACAUGCCUUAUCUUUCCGCCUUAUGUGACAACAUAAUUUGGCAGAAAAAGAAAGCAAAACAGAGAGGGGAUUAAUGCCUUAUCUAUGCAAAAUUGAGUAGAACAUUAAAUUUCAAUGUAUAAACUACGUUUAAACUAAAAAGUUAUAAAUUCUAGCUUCAAAUAAAAUCAAUUAUGGAGGCAGAAUCAAUUCUACUUUAAAAGAAUCACUCUUUAUCACAAACACAUGUGCACACUAUUGUAUCUAAUGUUGCAGUUGAAGGUGUUGUUGUUGCUGGAAAACUUUAGGAACAGAAUAAUUCUAAUCUUGGUUAUGAUGCCAACAAAGCUUUGUAAUUAGGUAAAUAUGUAGAUAUGGUUAAGUCUAAAAUUAUUGAUCCAUUGAAGGUGGUUAGGACCUUCUUGGUUGACAUAACCAGUGUAUCGUCUUUGAUGAUAACAACCGAAGUUAUUGUUUCUGAACUCCCAAAAGAAGAUAAAGACAGUCCUACAAUGCCUGACAACAUGGGUGGUAUGGAUUAUUAGCUGCUAUGAAGACUUGAAUUAAAGU
This is a long non-coding RNA of Vicia villosa (hairy vetch), 1032 nucleotides long. RefSeq lists it as uncharacterized. The transcript has 3 exons. The record is from RefSeq and is a predicted model, not a curated record. NCBI's taxonomy places the organism in Eukaryota, Viridiplantae, Streptophyta, Magnoliopsida, Fabales, Fabaceae.